CCUACGGGUGGCUGCAGUGGGGAAUUUUGGACAAUGGGGGCAACCCUGAUCCAGCCAUUCCGCGUGAGUGAAGAAGGCCUUCGGGUUGUAAAGCUCUUUCGCAAGGGAAGAAAACUUACUCAAUAACACUGGGUGAGGCUGACGGUACCUUGAUAAGAAGCACCGGCUAACUACGUGCCAGCAGCCGCGGUAAUACGUAGGGUGCGAGCGUGAAGCGGAAUUACUGCGCGUAAAGCUGGAAGUCAGAUGUGAAAUCCCCGGGCUCAACCUGGGAACGGCGUUUGAAACUACAAGGCUAGAGUAUGGCAGAGGGGGGUAGAAUUCCACGUGUAGCAGUGAAAUGCGUAGAGAUGUGGAGGAAUACCAAUGGCGAAGGCAGCCCCCUGGGUCAAUACUGACGCUCAUGCACGAAAGCGUGGGGAGCAAACAGGAUUAGAUACCCCUGUAGUC
This 450-nucleotide ribosomal RNA is filed under the name uncultured bacterium. RNAcentral's name for it is "partial 16S ribosomal RNA". It matches the Rfam family "Bacterial small subunit ribosomal RNA", at positions 338 to 795 of the family's 1533-position model. The record is from RNAcentral.